GUGUACGUACAAGCAGUGGGAGCACGCUUAGGCGUGUGACUGCGUACCUUUUGUAUAAUGGGUCAGCGACUUAUAUUCUGUAGCAAGGUUAACCGAAUAGGGGAGCCGAAGGGAAACCGAGUCUUAACUGGGCGUUAAGUUGCAGGGUAUAGACCCGAAACCCGGUGAUCUAGCCAUGGGCAGGUUGAAGGUUGGGUAACACUAACUGGAGGACCGAACCGACUAAUGUUGAAAAAUUAGCGGAUGACUUGUGGCUGGGGGUGAAAGGCCAAUCAAACCGGGAGAUAGCUGGUUCUCCCCGAAAGCUAUUUAGGUAGCGCCUCGUGAAUUCAUCUCCGGGGGUAGAGCACUGUUUCGGCAAGGGGGUCAUCCCGACUUACCAACCCGAUGCAAACUGCGAAUACCGGAGAAUGUUAUCACGGGAGACACACGGCGGGUGCUAACGUCCGUCGUGAAGAGGGAAACAACCCAGACCGCCAGCUAAGGUCCCAAAGUCAUGGUUAAGUGGGAAACGAUGUGGGAAGGCCCAGACAGCCAGGAUGUUGGCUUAGAAGCAGCCAUCAUUUAAAGAAAGCGUAAUAGCUCACUGGUCGAGUCGGCCUGCGCGGAAGAUGUAACGGGGCUAAACCAUG
This 632-nucleotide ribosomal RNA is filed under the name Escherichia coli. RNAcentral describes it as "partial 23S ribosomal RNA". It matches the Rfam family "Bacterial large subunit ribosomal RNA", at positions 558 to 1191 of the family's 2925-position model. Lineage: Bacteria; Pseudomonadati; Pseudomonadota; Gammaproteobacteria; Enterobacterales; Enterobacteriaceae. The record is from RNAcentral.